Molecule: long non-coding RNA, 209 nt
Organism: Hibiscus syriacus
Lineage: Eukaryota; Viridiplantae; Streptophyta; Magnoliopsida; Malvales; Malvaceae
Exons: 3
Source: RefSeq, a predicted model, not a curated record
CAUUUAUGUUCAGUUAUAUAAUUGAUAAUCGUGUCUGUACCUGUAGUGGAUGAACCAUUCAAUGGCUUUUAUGAUCUAGGCAAAGAGCAGUGCCCACCUUGUGUUUGAUGGUAAUUCUCCUUCAUUUUUCAAGUAGGGAUAUGCCUAUCCCAUAUUAAAUAGCACAACUUGUCAGGCAUCUAGAGCAAGGGGAAGAAGCUAUUGCAAAU